Molecule: ribosomal RNA, 2204 nt
Filed under: Patescibacteria group bacterium
Lineage: Bacteria
Description: bacterial LSU rRNA
Rfam family: Bacterial large subunit ribosomal RNA
Source: RNAcentral
GAAUAAGGGCGUAUGGUGGAUGCCUAGACUUAAAGAGACGAUGAAGGACGUGGCUUAGCUACGAUAAGCUUCGGGGAGGCGCUGAGCGGCCUUUGAUCCGGAGAUCUCCGAAUGGGGAAACCCAACACCGUAAAUCGGUGUUAUCCCGCCUUUGGCGGGAAGGAAACCCCGGGAAGUGAAACAUCUCAGUACCGGGAGGAAAAGAAAACAAUGUGAUUCCCUGAGUAGCGGCGAGCGAAAUGGGAAUAGCCUAAACCUUACUUUUUAUUAAGUAAGGGGUUGCAAGGUAAUAGCGAAUGAAGCAAUUCUAAGUGAGUUUUAAUCUUGUUAGCUGAAUCCGUUGGAAAGCGGAGCCAAAGAAGGUAAUAGCCCUGUAAACGAAAACAUGAUUAUACUUUCAGUUAUUAUUCUUAAGUACUUCGAGACACGAAUGGCUCGGAGGAAUCUGCCGGAACUAACCGGCAAGGCUAAAUACUCUUUAAGAUCGAUAGUGAACAAGUACCGCGAGGGAAAGGUGAAAAGUAGCCCGAUGAGGGCGUUGAAAUAGAACCUGAAACCAUAUGUCUACAAGGAGUCGAAGUCUCGACGCAAGUCGUGGACGACGGCGUGCCUAUUGAAGAAUGAGCCAACGAGUUAAUUUGUGUUGCUGUCUAAGUCCGAGAGGACGGAGACACAGCGAAAGCGAGUCUUAAAAGGGCGAUCAAAAGUAUUACAAAUUAGACCCGAAGCCAGGUGAACUUGCCAUGGGCAGGAUGAAUUCCGCAGAAAUGCGGGAGGAGGUCCGAACCGGUUNNUCUCUCCGAAAUAGCUUUAGGGCUAGCGUUUGUCUUACCUUCCGGGGGUAGAGCACUGGAAGGAUUGAACAGGGGGAAACCUCGUCAAUCCUAUCAAACUCCGAAUACCGGAAGUAAUUGGCAGACAGUUAGACUGUGAGGGCUAAGCUUCACUAGUCAAAAGGGAAAGAGCCCAGAUCUCAAUCUAAGGUCCCUAAAUUUCUACUAAGUGCACUUAAGGAGGUGAAAUUUCUCAGACAACGAGGAAGUUGGCUUAGAAGCAGCCAUCUUUUAAAGAAUGCGUAACAGCUCACUCGUUAAGAGAUCUUGCACCGCAAAUAAUCGGGGCUAAGUAGAGUACCGAAGGUGAGGAUGUUCCGCUUUUAGCGGAACAUGGUAGGAGAGUGUUCGCAUCUGCUGUGAAGCUGUGUCGUGAGGCACGGUGGAGCGUUGCGAAGUAAGAAUGUUGGCACAAGUAACCACAAUCAGCCUGAAAACGGCUGACGCCGAAAAUCCAAGGUUUCCUUGGCAAUGACGAUCAACCAAGGGUUAGUCGGGCCUAAGGCAAUGGCGAAAGCCGCAGCCGAUGGACACACGGUUAAUAUUCCGUGACUUCCGUAUUUUUAAUGGAGUGACGAAGAUUAGUAUGCUAGGCGCAUUACUGGAUUUGCGUUAUUGGCGUAAGGAACGCAGGCAGGAAAAUCCGCCCGCGCCCGCAAGGGAAAUUCCAAGCGCAAAUGAAAUAUUCCGUUUAUAGCGGAAUAAAUUUAGCAAAGCAGUCUUCCAAGAAAAGCUUCUAAGCCCCGCUUUAGCGGGGAAAGAAAUACGGAAACCGUACCGAAAACCGACACAGGUGGAUAGGUCGAGAAGACCAAGGCGAACGGGUGAGUUCUUCCCAAGGAACUCGGCAAAAAAGCGACCGUAACUUCGGGAUAAGGUCUGCCNNGGAUGUAUAGGGGGUGACACCUGACCAAUGCGAGAAGGUCAAAUACGGAGGGUUUUCGCCGCAAGGCGGAAGCUGGACUGUAUAAGCCCUCGUGAAUGUCGGCCGUAACUAUAACGGUCCUAAGGUAGCGAAGUACCUUGUCGGGUAAGUUCCGACGCGCAUGAANNUUUACUAUAGCUUGGUAUUGGGUUUAGAUUUUUAAUGCGUAGCAUAGACGGGAGGCUUUGAAGUGUCGCUUUUGGGUGACAUGGAGCCGCCAGUGAAAUACCGUUCUUUAAAAAGCUAAAUUCUAACCUUUGCGGCAAAAACGCAAGGAGACAGUGCCUGGUGGGUAGUUUAAUUGGGGCGAUUUCCUCCUAAAAAGUAACGGAGGAGUUUAAAGGUCGGCUAGGCGCGGAUGGAAACCGCGCUGAUAGCGCAAUGGCAAAAGCCGGCUUAACUGCAAGACGGACAUGUCGAGCAGAUGCGAAAGCAGAACAUAGUGA